UACUCCUACGGGAGGCAGCAGUAAGGAAUAUUGGACAAUGGAGGCAACUCUGAUCCAGCCAUGCCGCGUGAUGGAUGAAGGCGCUACGCGUUGUAAACUUCUUUUCUCUUAGAAAAAACUAUUGGUUUCGUACCGAUACUGAUUGUACAAGAGGAAUAAGCAUCGGCUAACUUCGUGCCAGCAGCCGCGGUAAU
RNAcentral lists this ribosomal RNA (194 nucleotides) under uncultured bacterium. RNAcentral's name for it is "partial 16S ribosomal RNA". It matches the Rfam family "Bacterial small subunit ribosomal RNA", at positions 334 to 524 of the family's 1533-position model. The record is from RNAcentral.